AGCCAACUGAAUGUCUCCACUCAGCUUCGACGCCUUGUGAGGAGGCAGGAAGGAGGAGAAGCCGUCGAGCAGCUUUGUACACUUCAGACGCCAUUUCUCCAUCAAGAACUCAAUAAGGUGAUGCCCACUAAAAAAGGUGGUGAUGAAAACCGAAUCUGGGCAUUUCUGGAGCAAAAAUGUUACAGUCAAAAAUAGAUCAUCGAAGCCUGUGAAGUGCAAACAACAUGAUUAAAAAAAAUGUAAUUAGAUUCGAUGAAUUAUGUAUAGAUGAAAUGGAAGAGUUCUUCAAUCUUA
Salvia splendens (bonfire salvia) is the source of this 294-nucleotide long non-coding RNA. RefSeq lists it as uncharacterized. The transcript has 2 exons. Lineage: Eukaryota; Viridiplantae; Streptophyta; Magnoliopsida; Lamiales; Lamiaceae. The record is from RefSeq and is a predicted model, not a curated record.